This 611-nucleotide ribosomal RNA is filed under the name uncultured archaeon. Its description in RNAcentral is "partial 16S ribosomal RNA". The record is from RNAcentral.
GGGUUGACUCCAAUGAACCGAGCUUCACCCUUGUGGUGCUCCCCCGCCAAUUCCUUUAAGUUCAUACUUGCGUACGUACNCCCAGGCGGCAGACUUAACGGCUUCCCUGCGGCACUGCAUUGGCCACAAGCCAAUGCAUCACCGAGUCUGCAUCGUUUACAGCUGGGACUACCCGGGUAUCUAAUCCGGUUUGCUCCCCCAGCUUUCAUCCCUCACCGUCGAACGUGUUCUGGUACACCGCCUUCGCCACAGGUGGUCUUCAAUAGAUCAAAGGAUUUUACCCCUUCCUAUCGAGUACCGUGUACCUCUCCCACUCCCUAGCUGCACAGUAUUUUCGGCGGCCUAUACGUUAAGCGCAUAGAUUUAACCGAAAACUUAUGCAACCGGCUACGGAUGCUUUAGGCCCAAUAAACCUCCUGACCACUCGAGGUGCUGGUUUUACCGCGGCGGCUGACACCAGAACUUGCCCACCCCUUAUUCACCAGUGAUUCUACAACUGACAAAAGACUCCUUUAGCAGGAGACACUCGGAUUAACCUUGUCGUGCUUUCGCACAUUGGCAAAGGUUCUCGCCUGCUGCGCCCAUAGGGCUGGGUCCGGUCUCAGUACCAU